This is a long non-coding RNA of Ipomoea nil (Japanese morning glory), 109 nucleotides long. RefSeq lists it as uncharacterized. The transcript has 3 exons. The record is from RefSeq and is a predicted model, not a curated record. Lineage: Eukaryota; Viridiplantae; Streptophyta; Magnoliopsida; Solanales; Convolvulaceae.
GAGGAGUUAUCAUUUCAUAUUGGAUUAAUACGAUGUGUUAUGAAAACAAUGAAUUAUUCUUUACCAAUCUAUUGUGUGUAUUUGAAUUCAAGUCGAAUGUGUGCACAAA